RNAcentral lists this ribosomal RNA (527 nucleotides) under Anterastes ucari. RNAcentral describes it as "partial 16S ribosomal RNA". It matches the Rfam family "Bacterial large subunit ribosomal RNA", at positions 1809 to 2608 of the family's 2925-position model. Lineage: Eukaryota; Metazoa; Arthropoda; Insecta; Orthoptera; Tettigoniidae. The record is from RNAcentral.
AAAAACAUGGCCUUUUGAGUGGAAUUUAAGGUCGGGCCUGCCCACUGACGUAGUUGAAGGGCCGCGGUAUUUUGACCGUGCAAAGGUAGCAUAAUCAUUAGUCUUUUAAUUGAGGGCUGGAAUGAAUGGUUUGACGAAAUAUUAACUGUCUCUAUAUAAUAAAUGGAAUUUAACUUUUGAGUCAAAAGGCUUAAAUGAAUAUAAAAGACGAGAAGACCCUAUAGAUCUUUAUAUAGUUAAGUAAUUGUUUUAUUUAGUUGUUUUGUAUUCAAUUAUUUUUGCUGUAUUUUGUUGGGGUGACAUAAAGAUAAAAAUAACUCUUUAUAAUGGGUACAUUGAUUUAUGAGUGAUUGAUCCGUUAUUAACGAUUAUAAGACAAAGUUACCUUAGGGAUAACAGCGUAAUUUUUUUUGAGAGUUCUUAUCGACAAGAAAGAUUGCGACCUCGAUGUUGGAUUAAGGAAUAUGAUUAGGUGUAGCAGUUUAAUUAAUAAGUCUGUUCGACUUUUAAAUCCUUACGUCAUCUGA